RNAcentral lists this ribosomal RNA (376 nucleotides) under uncultured bacterium. Its description in RNAcentral is "bacterial SSU rRNA". It matches the Rfam family "Bacterial small subunit ribosomal RNA", at positions 524 to 898 of the family's 1533-position model. The record is from RNAcentral.
AACGUAGGAGGCGAGCGUUAUCCGGAUUUACUGGGCGUAAAGCGUGUGUAGGCGGUAUGAUAAGUUGGAUGUGAAAGCUCCCGGCUCAACUGGGAGAGGUCGUUCAAAACUGUCAGACUAGAGAGUGGUAGAGGGAGGUGGAAUUCCGCGUGUAGUGGUGAAAUGCGUAGAUAUGCGGAGGAACACCAGUGGCGAAAGCGGCCUCCUGGACCAUUUCUGACGCUCAGACACGAAAGCUAAGGUAGCAAACGGGAUUAGAGACCCCGGUAGUCUUAGCUGUAAACGAUGUGAACUUAGUGUCGGUGGGGUUAAAUCCAUCGGUACUGAAGCUAACGCGAUAAGUUCACCGCCUGAGGACUACGGCCGCAAGGUUAAA